Molecule: non-coding RNA, 615 nt
Organism: Danio rerio (zebrafish)
Lineage: Eukaryota; Metazoa; Chordata; Actinopteri; Cypriniformes; Danionidae
Source: RefSeq, a predicted model, not a curated record
AAAGAAAGAAGCGUCUGGAAGAAAUCAUGAAGAGGACUCGUAAGAGUGACGCAGGAGCACAGAGGUGCUGUGAGAGAUGAGAUAUCAGAGUCUUCUGGAUAUAAAGAGAAGAAGAGAAGCCUUACUCUACCACCGCUUCCACCCUGACGUGUGCCAAACCAACAAAAACAGACUGCUUUAACUUUAGAAACACAGCCGAGCCGGACGCACUCUGGAGAAAGUGCCAGAAGACGACCUUAAAGAGACACUUAUAUACAUAUACAACGUUUGCAAAAAGUCUCUGUCUAUUUCACUGUGUGUGUCAUGGUGCAACAUUUGUUGAGUUUCUUUAACAAGUCACCUGCCGAUCAUGUGGUGCACCUUAAAAGAGUCGCUAUAUAUUGAAUUUUAGAAAAGACAACUUGGCUUAUCUUUAUGAUAUGAAUUAUUGUUGUUGUUGUUGCUCUUGUUAUGAUGUAUUGUUAUCGUUCUUUUAAGUAGAGAAAAAAAGCAAACCUGUGUCUUGAACUAUUGCGUUAUUUAACGUGUGGCGCAUCAGAAGAGGCCGAUAUUCUGUAUGUUAAUGUAUAUUUGCCUGAUUAUGACAGACCUGUGGAAUAAAUCUUUAUGAAAGGG